RNAcentral lists this unclassified non-coding RNA (1399 nucleotides) under Eurytemora carolleeae. RNAcentral describes it as "uncharacterized LOC111716756". The record is from RNAcentral. Lineage: Eukaryota; Metazoa; Arthropoda; Copepoda; Calanoida; Temoridae.
GAUGAUUUUUCAUUUUCAGAUUUAAUAACUCCCGAGGGUAAAGCCUCUAGAGAAUGAGGAAAAAUGAGAUUUUGUAGAGGGAGGGGUGAAAAUAUGAGAUAAAUGAAUGAGAUAUAGAAAACGAAGAAGUUAUAUCUAAAUUAGGAGUUUUCAAGAGUUAGAAGAAAAAUGUAUUGGAUUAAGAAGAAAAAAAGAGAACUACUAAUGAGAUACAGAUAAUAAUGAAAGGAUGAUAUCUAAUAGAAGAUUGGAUUAAUUUUUCAAGUGAAUUAUUGAGAUACGAGCAUGCUGGCACUAGAGCACAUGAAUAUAGGAUAUAUUCUGGCAGAAAUAUUCCUUUAUUUAUCUCCAGGGGAUCUUCAUGUUAGUCGCCAGGUUUGCCGGGCUUGGAAUUCCUGUAUAGUUGAAGACAUUUGGAACAGGAAAAAGAACAGGAGAAUAUUCGAGAACAGUUUACAGAGAAGAUGGUUGAAAGGAGAAUGCUCAAGGAAUAUUUACCCUGUAUCUAGAAGAGAACAUGACUGUGGAGUAAGACUUACUAAUCAGUAUUUUCUUUUACAUUCUCAGUUGUUCAAACUCAAAUUCGAUCCGAUCUUUGCAUUGUACUCUGUGAAAGAUGGAGGAUUAAUAAACGAAACAAGACUCGAAUUGAAGGAUGGACACAGAUUGCAUGGGGUUGAGGUGACGAAUUAUUUUAUAACAGCAAGUUUCUCUGACGCGGCCUCACAUGGAGAUAACCAUGAAACUAUUCAGGUUCUAGGAAUUCCAAGUUUACAAAUCAUUUCAAACAUUCCUGCUGCAGAGUCGCCACAGAUGUUUACAGUUGCAGAUUCUUACAUUCUGACUUUAAGUCCGUUUAAAACCAGAUUAGAGCUUUCCGAGCUCACCCUUUUCAAUCCAAUUCUUAAAUCUCAAUCAAAGUUUAAAAUUCGCCUGUCAUUUUACGACGUGCUAAACCUAAGUUUUGACGGCCGAUACGCUCUGGUUCGAACAAUUGACGAGAUUGAUCAGACAAAUGUGUAUGAUGUAAUUCGUUCACGAACAGUUACAAAAGGUUUGAAAACGGGAAUGUUUCAACUGAACGAGGUGUUUGUGUAUCCUUUACUCUGUACUAUUCAGGAUCAUUGCUACUUAAAAAUAUAUAAUCUAGAGGAGAGAUCAAGUUUAUCCCGAUUUAUCCAUGAACCUGCAGACCUGUGUUCUAGCGCUAGUCAACCUAGAACUGAGAUUGGGCUUGGGAAUAAGGGAUUCUGUCUACCUAACCCGAUAUCUUAAACACUCUUCAGAUCAUUCACAGUGCUCAGCGUUCCUUGAUAUUUUCAACCUAGACCAGAUAAAGGUUGGAAAUCUUGUUCCAAGUGUUCUGUCUCUUCAACUCUCCGGACCCUUGUUUGAUGAA